RNAcentral lists this ribosomal RNA (600 nucleotides) under uncultured bacterium. Its description in RNAcentral is "bacterial SSU rRNA". It matches the Rfam family "Bacterial small subunit ribosomal RNA", at positions 81 to 681 of the family's 1533-position model. The record is from RNAcentral.
CUUCUCGCUGACGAGCGGCGGACGGGUGAGUAAUACUUAGGAAUCUGCCCAGUAGUGGGGGAUAGCACGGGGAAACUCGUAUUAAUACCGCAUACACCCUACGGGGAAAAGGGGGCGCUUGCGCUCUCGCUAUUGGAUGAGCCUAAGUCGGAUUAGCUAGUUGGUGGGGUAAAGGCCUACCAAGGCGACGAUCUGUAGCUGGUCUGAGAGGAUGAUCAGCCACACCGGGACUGAGACACGGCCCGGACUCCUACGGGAGGCAGCAGUGGGGAAUAUUGGACAAUGGGGGCAACCCUGAUCCAGCCAUGCCGCGUGUGUGAAGAAGGCCUUUUGGUUGUAAAGCACUUUAAGCAGUGAAGAAGACUCUAUGGUUAAUACCCAUAGACGAUGACAUUAGCUGCAGAAUAAGCACCGGCUAACUCUGUGCCAGCAGCCGCGGUAAUACAGAGGGUGCAAGCGUUAAUCGGAAUUACUGGGCGUAAAGCGAGCGUAGGUGGCUUAAUAAGUCAGAUGUGAAAUCCCCGGGCUUAACCUGGGAACUGCAUCUGAUACUGUUGGGCUAGAGUAGGUGAGAGAGAGGUAGAAUUUCAGGUGUAGCGG